GGUAAGUAUAUAAAGAAACUAUUAUGGAUAAUUAGCUAUAUAUUAAAGAAUAUCUAGACAAUCUAGUUUCUAAGAGAAAUCAGAUAAUAAACAAAGUGAAUUGAAAUAUCUUAGUAACUUUAGGAAAAGAAAUCAAACGAGAUUGUUAUUUGGUGUCAACUAAAUAACAAAAGCCUAAAAACAAAACUUGAAAAAGUAAAACGGAUUAAAAUCUGUUAGAAUAAAGGGGAACCUUCCUCUAAGGCUAAAUAUGAUAUAUAAGCGAUAGUGAAAAGUACCGUGAGGUAAAAUUUGAAAUAGUAGUUUUAUAAGCAGCUCGAGUGAAAUUUAAAUAAAUAAUAAGAGCGUACCUUUUGCAUAAUGGGUCAGCAAGUUAAUUUUAGAUGCAAGCAAUUACGAAUGUGAUUAGCUUAGAUAAACCAAUUAUGAGAAAAUGAAAAAGUAUCUAAAAUUAGACCCGAAGGCUAGUGAUCUUACCAUGGUCAGGGUUAUAAAAGCCCGAACGGGUUAUCGUUGUAUAGAUAUCCGAAGAACUGUGGUAAGUUAGUGAAAGACAAAACUGACUAGUAUAGCUGGUUUUCCGCGAAACCUAUAUAAGUAGGUAAUUUAACUAACAUCUUAGCAGGUACAGAACUGUGAUCUCGGACAAUAUUUUUGUCAACAUCGGGGGGUUGUAGUGACUUUACCGGAGAGUAUUUGCACUCGAAAUGGCAAAGAUGAAUGUUGAAUAAUCGGACAUAGUGCGAUAAGGUUGUAUGUCUAAAGGGAAACAGCCCAGAACAAGAGUUAAGGUUCCAAAAUUAUCAUUGAGUGAAAUUAAGGAUGUUUUUUUUUAAUACAAUCAGGAAAUAGGCUUAGAAGCGGCCAUUUUUUGAAGACCUCGUAACAGAGCACUGAUUAAAGAAAAAAACACCGAAAAUUUAACGGAUCUAAAUGAUAUACCGAAACCUUGUACACAUAUGUAUAAUAAUAAAAUAUUGUCUAUGUGGGGUAGCGGAACAUUGGAUAAAUAUUCAUUAUUAUUUCUUUUUAAGAAAUAAUAAGUAUGGAUAAUAAUUAAUAAUAUUUAAAACUUAAUGUUUUAAGGAUAUUUAUAUAAUAUCGAAAAUAUGAUUUAUAUAAAUAUAUAGAUGUAUAAUAUAUGUCUUUAUUAUUAAAAUUCUCCAUCAAUAUAAUCCAAGAGAGAAUGCUGACAUGAGUAACGAAAAAGGAAUAUCCUCGCCUUAAGCUUAUGGUAUUAUAUUUAAUUUUCGGUAUCUAAAAAUAUUAAUCAAAAGGUAAUUUUGAUGAUAUUUAUAUAUAAAUACUUAAAAGUUAAAAACAAAACCUUUAACAAGUAAUAAAGGUUCUGGAAAAUUUUUAACUUUAAUAAAAAAUUAUUAACUUAGCCUUAUGAAUAAAUCUAAAUAUGUUAUAUUGUAUUUAUAAUAUAACUUGUUAAAGUUUUGCAAGAUUGUAUUGUAAAAAAACAAUAUAAUAGAGUUUUAUAAAAAAGUUAAUAAUGGAGGGAUAUAUUUAUAUUGUUGUAUAAAUAUUAAGGCUAAUAUUCAAUAAAUAUAAGUAUAAUAAGGUUUAUAUAUACCGUACCUAGAUACUAUCACAAGUAAGCAAGUAGAGAAUACAAAGGCGUUUGAGUGAACAAUCAUUAAGGAACUCGGCAAAUUGACUACCGUAACUUCGGGAUAAGGAGGGCCAUUAUCAUAAGUUUAACAUACCUAAGGUAUGAUAUAAUUAAAUUUAUGGUAAGAGGAAACAUAAAAUAAUGUUGUACGACUGUUUAAUAAAAACACAGCACUCUGCAAAGAUAAAAUAUCAAAGUAUUGAGUGUGAUGUCUGCCCAAUGUCGGCUGGGUAACGAAUUUACCUUGGUUUUUAACUGAGGUUUUGAAGGACACCCCGAUAAAUGGCGGCCUUACCUAUGAGGGUCCUAAGGUAGCGAAAUACCUUGGCCGUUAAAUGCGGUCCAGCAUGAAUGACUUAACGAUACAACAGCUGUCUCGAUGAUUGUCUCAGUGAAAUUGGAAUAGCAGUGCAGAUACUGUUUACCUCUAGAUAGACGAGAAGACCCUAUGCAGCUUUACUGUUACCAAUUGCAAGAGUUAAAAUUUAGGAUGAUUGCGAGUGUAUAAGGUAGUUGAAAGAUAACAAUGAAACACCUUUAUUUGUUUCCUAAUAUAUGCUCUUGAGGAUUGGGAGGCAGUUUAUGCGGGGCACAGAUCCCACAAAAAGUACCUGGGUAUAUCCAAAGUUCAUAUGUAAAUUUGUAAAUCUCUUUACAAAUAUUUUAAUUUGUUAUAAUUAUAUUUAUAAUUAUACAGUUAUUGUUAGAUUAAAUUCAAUAUAUAUUAUUUAAUUUAAGUAAGAUUUUAACUAUAUGGUGAAUAGAUGUAUUUUAAACUUUACAUUGUUAAAAGUUUUUUAUCAUAUUAAUAUUGUAUAAUUUCUUUCUUUAUUAAUAUGAUGAUUAUUUAUACUUUAAAAGUUUAAUGGCUAAAUCUUGCUUUACUGUUUGACCUACAAGUCUAUCAGUCGCGUAAGCGGGGCAUAUGAUCACAAGAUGCAUUAAGGAAAGGUCUUGGAUUAUAGAAAAAGUUACGCUAGGGAUUUAUAACUGUGAGUCCUCCAAUAUUAUAAAAUGUUGGUAAUAUAUUGGGUAAAUUUCAAAGACAACUUUUCUC
Molecule: ribosomal RNA, 2678 nt
Organism: Aspergillus ruber CBS 135680
Lineage: Eukaryota; Fungi; Ascomycota; Eurotiomycetes; Eurotiales; Aspergillaceae
Rfam family: Bacterial large subunit ribosomal RNA
Source: Rfam